AGAGAGAGACAUGCGCGCAUAUCAAUAAGCGGAGGAAAAGAAACUAACAAGGAUUCCCCUAGUAACGGCGAGUGAAGCGGGAAGAGCUCAAAUUUGAAAUCUUAAAGGGUUUCCCUUUACGAAUUGUAGUUUAAAGAAGUGUUUUCUGUUGAGGUUUUGGUAAAAGUUCUUUGGAAUAGGACAUCAUAGAGGGUGAGAAUCCCGUAUUUGACCUUUACUUUCAACUUUGUGAUACACUUUCAAAGAGUCGGAUUGUUUGGGAAUGCAGUCCAAAAUGGGUGGUAAAUUUCAUCUAAAGCUAAAUAUUGGCGAGAGACCGAUAGCGAACAAGUACCGUGAGGGAAAGAUGAAGAGAACUUUGAAAAGAGAGUUAAACAGUACGUGAAAUUGUCAAAAGGGAAGCGUUUGACACCAGUGUUGUUUUUCUGAAAAUCAAUUAAAGAACUGUUUAUGCUAAGUUGUUUAGACUUUAUCAGCUAACUGUUUAGUUUUGAGCUUUUCUUUAAUGCACUUUUCAGUUAACAAGUCAACAUCAAUUUCUUUUGCUGUAAAAAAGCUUGAGGAAGGUGGCCUGAGAUUCGUCUUAAGUGUUUAUAGCCUCUUGCCUAUGCAGUCGGAGAGAUUGAGGUCUGCAGCGUAGAUCCUUCGGGGCUAAAUGCAUUUGUGCUAAGUUAUAGCAUUUUAUAGACAACUUGUUGACUAUGAUUUGUCUUGUAGCUUACUCGCUUAUGUUAUUUUACCUACGCUUAGGAUGUUGACGCAUGAGAUAUACGC
Molecule: ribosomal RNA, 774 nt
Filed under: uncultured Neocallimastigales
Lineage: Eukaryota; Fungi; Neocallimastigomycota; Neocallimastigomycetes; Neocallimastigales
Description: partial large subunit ribosomal RNA
Rfam family: Eukaryotic large subunit ribosomal RNA
Source: RNAcentral